RNAcentral lists this ribosomal RNA (254 nucleotides) under uncultured bacterium. RNAcentral's name for it is "partial 16S ribosomal RNA". It matches the Rfam family "Bacterial small subunit ribosomal RNA", at positions 524 to 776 of the family's 1533-position model. The record is from RNAcentral.
UACGGGGGGGGCAAGCGUUGUUCGGAUUUACUGGGCGUAAAGGGCGCGUAGGCGGUCGUGACAAGUCACUUGUGAAAUCUCCGGGCUUAACUCGGAACGGUCAAGUGAUACUGUCGGACUAGAGUACAGAAGGGGCAACUGGAAUUCUCGGUGUAGCGGUGAAAUGCGUAGAUAUCGAGAGGAACACCUGCGGCGAAGGCGGGUUGCUGGGCUGAUACUGACGCUGAUGCGCGAAAGCCAGGGGAGCGAACGGG